Molecule: ribosomal RNA, 781 nt
Filed under: uncultured bacterium
Lineage: Bacteria
Description: bacterial SSU rRNA
Rfam family: Bacterial small subunit ribosomal RNA
Source: RNAcentral
CGCGUGCUUACCAUGCAAGUCGAACGAUGAUGCUGGAGCUUGCUCCAGUUGAUUAGUGGCGAACGGCUGAGUAACACGUGAGCAAUCUGCCCUUGACUCUGGGAUAACUGCGGGAAACUGUAGCUAAUACCGGAUACUUUCACCGAAAGGCAUCUUUUGGUGAAGAAAGAAUUUCGGUCAAGGAUGAGCUCGCGGCCUAUCAGCUUGUUGGUGAGGUAACGGCUCACCAAGGCGACGACGGGUAGCCGGCCUGAGAGGGUGACCGGCCACACUGGGACUGAGACACGGCCCAGACUCCUACGGGAGGCAGCAGUGGGGAAUAUUGCACAAUGGGCGCAAGCCUGAUGCAGCAACGCCGCGUGAGGGACGACGGCCUUCGGGUUGUAAACCUCUUUUAGCAGGGAAGAAGCGAAAGUGACGGUACCUGCAGAAAAAGCACCGGCUAACUACGUGCCAGCAGCCGCGGUAAUACGUAGGGUGCAAGCGUUGUCCGGAAUUAUUGGGCGUAAAGAGCUCGUAGGCGGUUUGUCACGUCUGCUGUGAAAAUCCAAGGCUCAACCUUGGACUUGCAGUGGGUACGGGCAGGCUAGAGUGCGGUAGGGGAGAUGGAAAUUCCUGGUGUAGCGGUGGAAUGCGCAGAUAUCAGGAGGAACACCAAUGGCGAAGGCACAUCUCUGGGCCGUAACUGACGCUGAGGAGCGAAAGCGUGGGGAGCGAACAGGAUUAGAUACCCUGGUAGUCCACGCCGUAAACGGUGGGUGCUAGCUGUGGGCCACAUUCC